RNAcentral lists this ribosomal RNA (201 nucleotides) under uncultured bacterium. RNAcentral's name for it is "partial 16S ribosomal RNA". It matches the Rfam family "Bacterial small subunit ribosomal RNA", at positions 328 to 539 of the family's 1533-position model. The record is from RNAcentral.
ACGCUCGACACCUACGGGAGGCAGCAGUGGGGAAUAUUGCACAAUGGGGGAAACCCUGAUGCAGCAACGCCGCGUGAAGGAAGAAGGUUUUCGGAUCGUAAACUUCUAUCAAUAGGGAAGAAAGAAAUGACGGUACCUAAAUAAGAAGCCCCGGCUAACUACGUGCCAGUAGCCGCGGUAAUCUGAGCGGGCUGGCAAGGC